UGGAAAGAGUGCAACCUGGGGACAG
RNAcentral lists this non-coding RNA (25 nucleotides) under Mus musculus (house mouse). The record is from RNAcentral. Lineage: Eukaryota; Metazoa; Chordata; Mammalia; Rodentia; Muridae.